RNAcentral lists this long non-coding RNA (841 nucleotides) under Rattus norvegicus (Norway rat). RNAcentral describes it as "long non-coding RNA NONRATT014793". Lineage: Eukaryota; Metazoa; Chordata; Mammalia; Rodentia; Muridae. The record is from RNAcentral.
UCAGCCCAGAAUGGAUGACAAGCUCCCUCUAACAGAGGCUCCCUUCAGUUAGCCGUCCCCCCUGCACAUAUACUCCAGUGCCUCCACAGAUCACCUCGGAUGGAAGAACUGCCGCUCACAGGGAGGGUCCGGGAAGCACUGGUUAGAAGCCACUGGACCUUCCCCACACCUCCAUUGAUGAAGCAUAGGUCAAUCUGCAGGGUGUCCUUUGAGUAAUCACAACUGCCCUGAAGAUGAUAAUGGCUAUUAUACGCAAGAGGACGGUCUUCCACACCAUUACCUGUAGACUCAGGUACCGUGCUAGGAAGGUAGAUCUCCGUUCUGUCUCUGGCUAUCUGGAUCUUAUGGUCCCCACCCCAAAACGAGGACGCAUUCUGUUGCAAUGCACAGGAGUAUCUGUGGCUUCAGAGUAUGCAUUCCUUACCCCGCCAUGCGACCCUGAUUCCUUCUCCCGCACUCCCACUCUAGCCCAUACACAAUGCACUUCCACUUAUAGACCUGAGAGUAUCCAUUAAACUCCCUUCCUGGCUAAUUCCAGGAAAGCAGGGACGAAUCUCAGGCCCCUCGCACUGCGCGCCGGAGCACAGUACACGGAGCGAAGGGACGCGAGGCCAAACCAUGCCAGGGGACCUGGGCAAGACCGGUCCCUGCUCCCUCAGGUCCAGACGGCUGGCCCCGGGGAAAGCCUGACUGGAAAGGCGUGGGGGAGGCAAAACCAAAGAAAAGGGUGAUGACAGGACGCCCAUCCCCUUUCCACCCAUCUAUCUUUGAGGUAGGGAUGCUUGUGUUUAGGCAGCUCAAGAAAUUUAACCCCGGGGCUGGAGAGAUGGCUCAGCGGUUA